GACGAACGCUGGCGGCGUGCUUAACACAUGCAAGUCGAGCGGUAAGGCCCCUUCGGGGGUACACGAGCGGCGAACGGGUGAGUAACACGUGAGUAACCUGCCCCUGACUCUGGGAUAAGCCUGGGAAACUGGGUCUAAUACCGGAUAUGACCUCGUGCCGCAUGGUGUGGGGUGGAAAGGUGUUUUUCCGGUCAGGGAUGGGCUCGCGGCCUAUCAGCUUGUUGGUGGGGUAACGGCCUACCAAGGCGAUGACGGGUAGCCGGCCUGAGAGGGCGACCGGCCACACUGGGACUGAGACACGGCCCAGACUCCUGCGGGAGGCAGCAGUGGGGAAUAUUGCGCAAUGGGCGGAAGCCUGACGCAACGACGCCGCGUGGGGGAUGAAAGCCUUCGGGUUGUAAACCUCUUUUACCACUCACGAAGGCCCCUGGUUUUCUGGGGGUUGACGGUAGGUGGUGAAUAAGGACCGGCUAACUACGUG
RNAcentral lists this ribosomal RNA (481 nucleotides) under uncultured bacterium. RNAcentral describes it as "bacterial SSU rRNA". It matches the Rfam family "Bacterial small subunit ribosomal RNA", at positions 28 to 507 of the family's 1533-position model. The record is from RNAcentral.